Molecule: ribosomal RNA, 443 nt
Filed under: Labyrinthulomycetes sp.
Lineage: Eukaryota; Bigyra
Description: SSU rRNA
Rfam family: Eukaryotic small subunit ribosomal RNA
Source: RNAcentral
GGGAUCGAAGAUGAUUAGAUACCAUUGUAGUCCUAGCCAUAAACGAUGCCGACUUGGGAUUCGAGAAGUACUUUUUUUUAUGUCUUCUCGAGCACCAAAUGAGAAAUCAAAGUCUUUGGGUUCCGGGGGGAGUAUGGUCGCAAGGCUGAAACUUAAAGGAAUUGACGGAAGGGCACACCAGAAGUGGAGCCUGCGGCUCAAUUCGACUCAACACGGGAAAACUUACCAGGUCCAGACUUCGUAAGGAUUGACAGAUUGAGAGCUCUUUCUUGAUUCGAAGGGUGGUGGUGCAUGGCCGUUCUUAGUUGGUGGAGUGAUUUGUCUGGUUGAUUCCGUUAACGAACGAGACCUCGGCCUACUAACUAGUGCCGCGAAUUUUGCGAUUCGUUAGUAUUUGGCGCUUCUUAGAGGGACAAUUCGGUUUUACCGGAAGGAAGUUCGUG